CCGAAAACCUAAUCGCCCGUUAUAAGACAACACCACCGCUAACCCUAGUUCUUGCUACCGGAAGUUGCAGGUGAUUACGACAGUUUCGCCAUAAGCAACUAUGACUACAUUUGCCACUCCGGGUGCAUCAUCGCUAGCCAGAUGCCCUACUUCAUUUCUGUUCAUCUAUUUCACAUAGAAUAGUUGUUCAAUCAGUCACUGGAUCGGCAUGGAGUAAAUUUCUCUCUCCAUAUCGUUUGGAAACAUCGAAUCGCUCUGUUAGUUUCAACGCAGGAAUUUGGAAAGUGGCUCGUGUGUUGUAAAGGAGAAGGUAACAAGGGAUUCAACACAGACAUUUGCAGAUGGCAAUGCAUGGAGUAUAAGUUUUUUAGAAGGUUUCUUGUGAUUUUGAGAAGCUGGGGUUUUAGGCAGCUUUCUCAUUUGUUUCUUUUUGUGGAAUUUUUGGGGUGAGAUUGAAUAUUCAAAUUCUGUGUGACCAUAAAUGUUUAAUUGUUAUUUUGUAUCUCAAUGGAAUGAUGCAUAUUUUGAACUAGAA
Molecule: long non-coding RNA, 535 nt
Organism: Lactuca sativa (garden lettuce)
Lineage: Eukaryota; Viridiplantae; Streptophyta; Magnoliopsida; Asterales; Asteraceae
Source: RefSeq, a predicted model, not a curated record